GCUUGGCAACUGUGUUGAGUGCUAUGUGAGGCAGUGUGUUAGAGGAACGCUGCUGCCCUUCAUGUGGAUUUGGCUGUUCUAACAGAAUCGGGUCAGUGACUGUGGAGCCUGGAGGGGGUUCGACUCUUCUGCUGUGGGGGGAGGCGCAGACAACCUGGCAGGAUCUGGAGCGCCUUCAGCAGCUCUGACCACCUUCAGGAGCAUCUGUGAGCAGAACAAACAGCCGGGUAAUUGUUAAAGGUGCUGUUGCUGGACCCUCGGAAACAAAGCCCCCGGCUAUGCUGUUUCUGGAGACAACUGGAGCAGGUGGAGCACUCAGAAUGCAGUGAUCGGGAUCACCAGAGACUGGACUAGUAUCUGACUGGACACUGCAGCAGGUGGCAGGAGUGACCAGGUGAAGAAGAACUGAGGGUUUGACCUUCUGCUGAAUUCUGAAAGUCAGGCUGGACCAUCGUUCUCCUGAUGCUGUAUCAGGAAUCUGUCGUGUUUAUGCAGACUGGCUUUAGGAGGAGGCUCUUCACCCACCACAGGAAAAUGCUAAACUAUGCCAUGGGCCAUGAAGAGCCCAGAGAGCAGAAGAGUGAAAGCAGGGAGGAGUCCAUUCUAGCCUUCCUGGGAAUCGCUGGAACCAUCCUUAACCUCCUGGUCAUCAUCUUUGUCUACAUCUACACCUCCAUUUGAACAAAAUCCAUCACAUUGUGAUGCAGAUCAAUUUGAACUGUGGAACAGACAGAGUACCCCUCACUGGGGGUUAUGGACAGUUCCUGGACAUCAGAACAACUCAACCUGUUACUUUAUUGGGUUAUUUAUAUUUUAUUCCAUUUGAGAGCGCGUAGUCUGUUCAUACUGUUCAUAAGUUCUGAGAUUCACAUGGCCAAGCACAACAUCUCUGUAAACGUUUUGAAACUGCUUUUGGAUGAUUUUCUACAUGAUCCUGUUUCUUAGACGGUAGAGGUCGAAUUAAAGCUUAUAUUCUGAAAACAUGUCUGCUGUGGUCUGUUCUGGGGUCCUGGAGAUCAGUUUGAACACACAUAACCUUGAUUUAUUACAGCUUCCAGUCUUUUCAGGAGACUCACUUACAGUUUCUCUGCAG
Molecule: long non-coding RNA, 1093 nt
Organism: Pygocentrus nattereri (red-bellied piranha)
Lineage: Eukaryota; Metazoa; Chordata; Actinopteri; Characiformes; Serrasalmidae
Exons: 3
Source: RefSeq, a predicted model, not a curated record